Molecule: ribosomal RNA, 248 nt
Filed under: uncultured bacterium
Lineage: Bacteria
Description: partial 16S ribosomal RNA
Rfam family: Bacterial small subunit ribosomal RNA
Source: RNAcentral
UAACGCGUGAGUAACCUGCCCUCGGAGUGGGGGACGAACAGUUGGAAACGACUGCUAAUACCGCAUAAGCCCACGAUCCGGCAUCGGAUUGAGGGAAAAGGAUUUAUUCGCUUCAGGAUGGACUCGCGUCCAAUUAGCUAGUUGGUGAGGUAACGGCCCACCAAGGCGACGAUUGGUAGCCGGACUGAGAGGUUGAACGGCCACAUUGGGACUGAGACACGGCCCAGACUCCUACGGGAGGCAGCAUG